RNAcentral lists this ribosomal RNA (108 nucleotides) under Enterobacter cloacae. RNAcentral's name for it is "partial 16S ribosomal RNA". It matches the Rfam family "Bacterial small subunit ribosomal RNA", at positions 1 to 99 of the family's 1533-position model. Lineage: Bacteria; Pseudomonadati; Pseudomonadota; Gammaproteobacteria; Enterobacterales; Enterobacteriaceae. RNAcentral also lists the same sequence under 19 other names. The record is from RNAcentral.
UUAAAUUGAAGAGUUUGAUCAUGGCUCAGAUUGAACGCUGGCGGCAGGCCUAACACAUGCAAGUCGAACGGUAACAGGAAGCAGCUUGCUGCUUCGCUGACGAGUGGC